Molecule: unclassified non-coding RNA, 182 nt
Filed under: uncultured Ascomycota
Lineage: Eukaryota; Fungi; Ascomycota
Description: sequence contains ITS1
Source: RNAcentral
AAGAGUAAGGGUGUUCAUCGCCCGACCUCCAACCCUCUGUUGUUAUAACUACCACGUUGCUUUGGCGGGACCGUCCGGUCCUCCGGGCCGCCGGGGUCGAAAGGCCCAGGCGAGCGCCCGCCAGAGUCAAACCAAACUCUUGUUUUUAACCGGUCGUCUGAGUUAAAUUUUUGAAUAAAUCA